This is a long non-coding RNA of Sus scrofa (pig), 724 nucleotides long. RefSeq annotates it as mitochondrial import inner membrane translocase subunit Tim10. The record is from RefSeq and is a predicted model, not a curated record. Lineage: Eukaryota; Metazoa; Chordata; Mammalia; Artiodactyla; Suidae.
ACGGAUCGGGAAGAGGCGGGAUUUCCUCCCCGGAAGGGACCCACGUGCUUCCGCCUGACCCUACCUGGGCACCCGGUGAAUUUCCAGUGUUUACCCGAAGUUGGGGAUACCGGGGGCACAGUGACAGACCUCCGGCCGUGGUCUAGGAGGCCAGAAGGAGAUCCCCUCGACCGUUCAGGGCUGAAAUGGACCCACUCAGGGCCCAGCAGCUGGCAGCAGAGCUGGAGGUAGAGAUGAUGGCUGAUAUGUACAACAGAAUGACCAGUGCCUGCCACCGGAAGUGCGUGCCUCCCCACUACAAGGAAGCAGAACUGUCCAAGGGCGAGUCUGUGUGCUUGGACCGGUGCGUCUCCAAAUACCUGGACAUCCAUGAGCGGAUGGGCAAAAAGCUCACAGAGUUAUCUAUGCAGGACGAAGAGCUGAUGAAGAGGGUGCAGCAGAGCUCUGGGCCUGCGUGAGGCCCCAGACAGUACACCCCAAGGUGCACCCUGCCCCCUCCCACUUGUCUAAUAAACGUGCCCCUGUUGGGUGUCAUCUGGGAAGACGGCCGGGCCUAUGCUCUUUCUGGAGAGUCUCCAGGUGCCUGGAGUAUGAUAGAGCUCUUUCCUGGUCAAAGAAGGGUAUUUGUCACACUGGAAUGUGACCGUAUACGUGUGUGUGUGUGUGUAUAUUCAUAUAUAUGUUAUGUAUUAAAACAAGUUUGUUGACUCCUGCAGUGUGCAAA